AACGAACGCUGGCGGCAUGCCUAACACAUGCAAGUCGAACGAGACCUUCGGGUCUAGUGGCGCACGGGUGCGUAACGCGUGGGAACCUGCCCUUAGGUUCGGAAUAAUUCCCCGAAAGGGGUGCUAAUACCGGAUAAUGUCUUCGGACCAAAGAUUUAUCGUCUUUGGAUGGGCCCGCGUUGGAUUAGCUAGUUGGUAGGGUAAAAGCCUACCAAGGCGACGAUCCAUAGCUGGUCUGAGAGGAUGAUCAGCCACACUGGGACUGGGACACGGCCCAGACUCCUACGGGAGGCAGCAGUGGGGAAUAUUGGACAAUGGGCGAAAGCCUGAUCCAGCUAUGCCGCGUGAGUGAUGAAGGCCUUAGGGUUGUAAAGCUCUUUUACCCGGGAUGAUAAUGACAGUACCGAGAGAAUAAGCUCCGGCUAACUCCGUG
Molecule: ribosomal RNA, 433 nt
Filed under: uncultured bacterium
Lineage: Bacteria
Description: partial 16S ribosomal RNA
Rfam family: Bacterial small subunit ribosomal RNA
Source: RNAcentral